RNAcentral lists this ribosomal RNA (497 nucleotides) under uncultured bacterium. Its description in RNAcentral is "partial 16S ribosomal RNA". It matches the Rfam family "Bacterial small subunit ribosomal RNA", at positions 28 to 507 of the family's 1533-position model. The record is from RNAcentral.
GAUGAACGCUGGCGGCGUGCCUAAUACAUGCAAGUCGAGCGAACGGACGAGAAGCUUGCUUCUCUGAUGUUAGCGGCGGACGGGUGAGUAACACGUGGAUAACCUAGCUAUAAGAAUGGGAUAACUUCGGGAAACCGUAGCUAAUACCGUAUAAUAUUUUGAACCGCAUGGUUCAAAAGUGAAAGACGGUCUUGCUGUCACUUAUAGAUGGAUCCGCGCUGCAUUAGCUAGUUGGUAAGGUAACGGCUUACCAAGGCAACGAUGCAUAGCCGAGCUGAGAGGGUGAUCUGCCACACUGGAACUGAGACACGGUCCAGACUCCUACGGGAGGCAGCAGUAGGGAAUCUUCCGCAAUGGGCGAAAGCCUGACGGAGCAACGCCGCGUGAGGGAUGAAGGUCUUCGGAUCGUAAAACUCUGUUAUUAGGGAAGAAAAUAUGUGUAAGUAUCUGUGCACAUCUUGACGGUACCUAAACAAAAAGCCACGGCUAACUACGUG